CUCAGAUGCAGAACAGGAGGCCGGUCCAGGACUGAGGGUGUAGGGACGCAGACACCGCUUGUCCUAUGUGACCCGGACAAGUUGCUGCCUCUGUCUGGGCCUCGGUCUUCUGUCUGUAAAAUGGGGGUGACAGAGAACCAGGGUGGCACCUUAGAGCACAGAGCACUGCUCAGCAAUGGUGAGCUCUGUGGCAACAGACCUGGGGUGACAGAUGGCCGGGGCGGGGCGCCACGCACCCUGCCCCUCCCGUGCCCGGUGAGGUCGGCAGGACCCAGCGACGUGCACGAUUCACCCUCGCGGCCGGCGGUCGGAGGGCGGCCGGGGGCCCCGCGCCGCGGGCUCUGGAAACACGAACAGAGAUGACGCAUGCCUCCUGCUCCCAGGAUUUCACAGACAUGCGAACUACGUGCUCCUGAGGCCAAGUGUGGAAAUGCAAUGUGGUGACUUCACACUGCUUACACGCACCGAAGAGAUCCACGUUCGGGAGCGGGUGUGAUCAAUGGCCCGGUGGGCCAAGCGCUCCUGGGAAAUGCAGGCUGGCGGUGCCGGGCAAUGCUCCGAGCCCCUCACUCCUCCCCCCGCAGCAGGCUCUAUGCUCAGCGCCCCCUCCUGUCCUGGACGGUCCCCAGGGCCAGUCUCCUGCACCGACAGUGCUCAGUGUCCAGAGCAACCCCAGUGUAGCCAGCUCCAGGCACCGACUCACAACCCUGUCUGCAGAGGCUCCCGUCACGCCCCCACCUGGGACCCUGUUGGGGUCCGAUGUCCCUCCCCAGCCACCCCUGCACUUCAGCAUCUCUCGGAGAUGGCCUGUCGUCCACUCCUGGGGUUGGCACUCGCCCGGGCUCUGGGCCAGGUUGCCCCGCAGGCCGGUCCUUGUCCUCGCGGGGCAGGGACAUACCGGCCCAGCUCCAUAUCCGGCGGGCCGCAGGGGUGAGUGGUCAGGGAGCCCAGCGGGCGACCGGGGAGCCCACAGUGGCCCUUCUGAAUGACGUUUCUCGUAUUUACCGUCCGCACUUCUCCGAGGUCACGCUGUGGCCUCCUAAUAGGCCGGCGUCCCAGGGAAACUCACACUUUUCCACUUUGGGGAAGUGCAGCGAAAGCACCCUCUUCCAGAAGGUUCUUCCCCACACCUGUGUGGUAGCAGCCUUCUAAGACACUCGUGGAGGCUCGAGCCUCACUGCCAUGAUUUCGUGAGUGAGGAACAGAGCACUUUCGGGUGACACCCUUUUCUAAACGUGACCACUCAUUGUUUGGCCUUAAUGCAAGCGUGAGACACCUUCUGCCAUCCCGCCACUGGGGCAGACUCUCUGGGCCCUGCUCCGGCCAAGUCCCAGGUCAUUUCCCGCUGAAGACCGGGAGGGCCGCCGUGUGUCCAUCCUGGGCCGCACGUUUAGGUAAUUUUACAAAUUCGUUUCCUCCUUAAAUACCAUUCAAGGGAACUAGCAACAGUCACCUCCCCGAAGGGUUCCUGAUGGGUUACACGGGCCUCGUCCAUCCUGCCCGUGCCCCGUGUCCCUCGGCCCCAAAUGCGGGGCCAGCCACGGCCGCGUUUGAACAUCCGCUCGCUCCGCGUCACUCGCCUGGAGAAUUAUCGUGGGGGCGCGAACGCUGCGUCUCACCCUGUGUAACGAUCUGGGUCGGGGCUGAGGGCACAUGUCCUACCCUUGCCUCCUCGUGGCCUCCUCAGCAGAGUUCUGGGCUGAGGCCCAGCGGGGCCGGGGGCUGCUGGGAAUCCCUUCCCCUCUGCAGAAGACCUUAGUGGAGGGGCCCCCCCUCUUACGGUGGUGGACUGGUUUUGCCUUGGGGAUCCACCGCUGCUCUUCCAGCCCACGUAUUACAGGCUCGGCUGCCUGGCUGCCAUCCAGGGUGGACACGUGACCCGGGGUGGGGGGGGGUGAUUCGGGGACUGCAUCCAUGUCAGUGAAGUGGGUUCUUGAGGACAGAGCCGAUGUGGGUGGGACAGAGAGAGGAGAAAUCUCAUCUUAGCAAUACAUUUUAAAUCCUUUUUAAAUAAAAUGUUUAUUUUUGAGAGAGAGACAGCAUGAGCAGGGGAGGGGCACAGAGAGAGAGACACACAGAAUCCAAACAGGCUCCAGGCUCCGAGCUGUCAGCACAGAGCCCGACUCGGGGCUCGAGCCCACAAGCUGGGAGAUCAUGACCUGAGAUGAAGUCGGACGCUCAACCGACUGAGCCACCCAGGCACCACACCUUCUAAACCCUUGAUCAAGCCGUACCUGAAAUCAGCAUGCCCUGACCUUCCGGGUUGUGUUUUCCGCCACCUGCAACCGAGGGAGGCUGGCCAGCCUGUGUUCAAGCUGAAGGGGCAGGAUGGGGCGGCGUGGGCUCGCUGGGCCCACGCCAGGCAGCGGAGAAGAUGCCAUGACCCCAUCGUGAGAAAAGCCUCUGACAAAUCCAAGUUGAGGGACAUUCUACAAAACACCGGUCCAAUCCUCCUUACAGCUGCCAAGGUCGCCAAAAGCAAGGAAAGUCCAAGAGUGUCCCAGCCGAGAGGGGCCCGAGGAGACGUGGUGACCAAGGGUCAUGUGGUCCUGGCACAGAAGGAGGACAGUGGGACAUUAGCAAAGCCCAUUUCCCAUCACGGGUUCACACGCUCCUUCCCUGUGACAAACGUACCAUCGUGACCCAAGACGGGAGCGGCAGGGCAUCUGGCUGGGGGCACACGGGGACUCGCCACCCUCUCUUUGCAGCAUUUCUGUAAAUUGAAACCCUUCUAAAAUUUCCCAUGUGUGUUUAAAACAGGAAGGAGAAAAAUAAAUCACAACUUGAAAAUUUA
This is a long non-coding RNA of Neofelis nebulosa (Clouded leopard), 2794 nucleotides long. RefSeq lists it as uncharacterized. The transcript has 3 exons. Lineage: Eukaryota; Metazoa; Chordata; Mammalia; Carnivora; Felidae. The record is from RefSeq and is a predicted model, not a curated record.